RNAcentral lists this microRNA precursor (199 nucleotides) under Prunus dulcis (almond). RNAcentral's name for it is "sRNA ncRNA". Lineage: Eukaryota; Viridiplantae; Streptophyta; Magnoliopsida; Rosales; Rosaceae. The record is from RNAcentral.
UAAUUUCAUCAACCCAAAAUCCUUGAGCAUAGAAGCUUGUCUGAAACUCCCCUAAUUUCAUAUUAGGGUUUGAAAUUGGUCAUUUAGAUUUAAGAUUCUUCAAAAAUUGGGAUUAGUGGUUGAAUUUCGAGCCCUAAUAUGGACUGGGGAGAAUUUCAAACAAGCUUUUACACUCAAAAAUUUUGAGUUUACGGAAUUG